GACGGAGGGGGCAAGCGUUGUUCGGAAUUAUUGGGCGUAAAGGGCUCGUAGGCGGACCGGCAAGUCUGGCGUGAAAUCUCCACCGCUCAACGGGGAGAGGCCGCUGGAAACUGCCGCGUCUUGAGUUUGGCAGAGGAGCGUGGAAUUCCGCAUGUAGCGGUGGAAUGCGUAGAUAUGCGGAAGAACACCGGUGGCGAAGGCGGCGCUCUGGGCCAAAACUGACGCUGAGGAGCGAAAGCCAGGGGAGCAAACGGG
This 255-nucleotide ribosomal RNA is filed under the name uncultured bacterium. Its description in RNAcentral is "partial 16S ribosomal RNA". It matches the Rfam family "Bacterial small subunit ribosomal RNA", at positions 524 to 776 of the family's 1533-position model. The record is from RNAcentral.